CUAUACAUUAUUCCUCCAAAAAAAAGCUACGUGACGGAGUUUCCUUCUUUUAGCGAAAUCAACUUUUCGGCUUCCCUUCACCUAUAACAUCUAAUUAAUAGUCCACUAAGCUUAACCUAAUCCUUCGUCUUUCCUAUACACAUAACGUCGUCUUCCCUCCACCUACAAUAUCUAAUUCUUCCCUCCACCUAUAACAUCUAAUUAAUAGCCCACUCACCUUAAUCCAACCCUUCGCCUUUUCUACAAACAUAAUAUUUAAUUAAUAGUCUACUCAUCUUAAUCCAACCCUUCACCUUUCCUACAAACAUAACGUCUAAUUAAUAGUUCACCUACUUUAAUCCUAAUCUAAACAGUAAAUCGGAGAAAUCUACGAAAAGCCCAAUUCUCUUCUUCUCUAUUUUUUUUUUCCUCCUCCAUGAGCUCCAAGGCUAAGAUCAAGCACGUUAUGUAGAUGGAGUAUAAGUUUGCAUGCUGCAUCGUUGGGCUUAGCGUUACCAUCUUCAUCAAAUCGAGCUUUUCUUCAAAUUUCAGGAGUUAUUUUAAAAGAUUAAUGCAUUCUUUAUGUUGUAUCGUUAAAAUUUCUUUGAUAGUUUUAUUCAGUUUUUUUAAGUUUUUUUUAUUUGCACGGUAUUCAAACUAAUGUGUUUGUUAUGUUGAAGAUUUAUUAUUUUUUCUUUUUCUAUCCUUUGUUUUUUAUAUUUUUUUCUUGAAAGUGAAGUUCUGUAUUAUAUUUACUGUAUUUGGUUGUGUUAGGCUGUAUAUUUUUUUGUCUCUUAACUUUUCAUAUACUUUUUUUUUUUCUAUUUUUAUGACUUUUUUUAUUAACUGAUAUAAGCUGUUUAUAAAAUUAGAUUGAUAUAUGAUCUAAAAAGGUCUUCAUUUUCUUGA
This 888-nucleotide long non-coding RNA is filed under the name Ananas comosus (pineapple). Its description in RNAcentral is "long non-coding RNA (ACOM_LNC034849)". Lineage: Eukaryota; Viridiplantae; Streptophyta; Magnoliopsida; Poales; Bromeliaceae. The record is from RNAcentral.